AUAGGAAGUAAAGGGGUUUAUAAGGAGGACUGUUGUUCAGAGAGAGUUACUCGUCACCAAGACAGAAUGGAUCACACCUGGCCCUGUGUUCUACUCUUGUUGAAUACCCUCAUCUACUGUGGUCACUCUCAAGGGAGUCCUGCUGCUGUUCUGACCCUCCAGCCCAACUGGCCCCAGAUAUUCAUGGGAGAGAUUGUCACUAUGAUAUGUAACAUACAGGUGGGAGACGUCACUGACUGGACGUACAGGUGGAGCAAGACU
Molecule: long non-coding RNA, 261 nt
Organism: Esox lucius (northern pike)
Lineage: Eukaryota; Metazoa; Chordata; Actinopteri; Esociformes; Esocidae
Exons: 3
Source: RefSeq, a predicted model, not a curated record